This 68-nucleotide transfer RNA is filed under the name uncultured Bittarella sp. It matches the Rfam family "tRNA", at positions 5 to 66 of the family's 71-position model. Rfam says of the family: Transfer RNA (tRNA) molecules are approximately 80 nucleotides in length. The record is from RNAcentral. Lineage: Bacteria; Bacillati; Bacillota; Clostridia; Eubacteriales; Oscillospiraceae.
CAAUAGCUCAGCUGGAUAGAGUGUCUGACUACGAAUCAGAAGGUCGGGGGUUCGAGUCCCUCUUGGCG